Molecule: ribosomal RNA, 253 nt
Filed under: uncultured bacterium
Lineage: Bacteria
Description: partial 16S ribosomal RNA
Rfam family: Bacterial small subunit ribosomal RNA
Source: RNAcentral
GACGGAGGGUGCAAGCGUUGUUCGGAAUUACUGGGCGUAAAGGGCGCGUAGGCGGUCUGUUAAGUUCGGUGUGAAAGCCCCCGGCUCACCUGGGGAACUGCGGCGGAAACCGACAGACUCGAGUACCGGAGAGGAGGGUGGAAUUCCUGGUGUAGCGGUGAAAUGCGUAGAUAUCAGGAGGAACACCGGUGGCGAAGGCGGCCCUCUGGACGGAUACUGACGCUGAGGCGCGAAAGCGUGGGGAUCAAACAGG